GACGAACGCUGGCGGCGUGCUUAACACAUGCAAGUCGAACGGAAAGGCCUGCUUUCCCUUGUGGAUUGCGGGUACUCGAGUGGCGAACGGGUGAGUAACACGUGAGUGAUCUGCCCCCAACUUGGGUAUAAGCCUGGGAAACUGGGUCUAAUUCCCGAUAGGACUGCAGGGUGGUGCCUGUGGUGGAAAACGAUUUUCUAGUGGUUGGGGAUGAGCUCGCGGCCUAUCAGCUUGUUGGUGGGGUAAUGGCCUACCAAGGCGGCGACGGGUAGCCGGCCUGGGAGGGUGGACGGCCACAUUGGGACUGAGAGACGGCCCAGACUCCUACGGGAGGCAGCAGUGGGGAAUAUUGCACAAUGGGCGGAAGCCUGAUGCAGCGACGCCGCGUGGGGGAUGACGGCCUUCGGGUUGUAAACUCCUUUCGACCGCGAGGAAGCCACCUGGUUGGAAGGGUGGUGACGGUAGUGGUAGAAGAAGCACCGGCUAACUACGUG
RNAcentral lists this ribosomal RNA (494 nucleotides) under uncultured bacterium. Its description in RNAcentral is "partial 16S ribosomal RNA". It matches the Rfam family "Bacterial small subunit ribosomal RNA", at positions 28 to 507 of the family's 1533-position model. The record is from RNAcentral.